RNAcentral lists this long non-coding RNA (322 nucleotides) under Setaria viridis. RNAcentral describes it as "long non-coding RNA (SVIR_LNC009042)". Lineage: Eukaryota; Viridiplantae; Streptophyta; Magnoliopsida; Poales; Poaceae. The record is from RNAcentral.
UUUAGGUAAAGGAAACAAUAUAAAACUUGAUUAGCAACAAGCUAAGGAGGAAUGGGAGGUAAGAUGGGUAACCUCGUAGGGAGCUCAUAUCCAACGUUAUCUCGGUCAUAUAAGAACCAGUUUAUUGAGCAAGUCUUUCCAGUGUAUAUGUGCAACCAUACGAGCCAAAAAGGUAUAGCCUUCGGGAAUACCUAUUUAUGUAAAGACUUGAUUCACACCCCACUAAAGAGUCUAGUAAACCAUCCCAAGGGGCCAUGGUGGGUAACAGAUGAACCGGAGUAGGACUUUCGCAUAGUCCCAAGUCUGGCCGGUAUGGGUCAUU